Molecule: ribosomal RNA, 359 nt
Filed under: uncultured bacterium
Lineage: Bacteria
Description: bacterial SSU rRNA
Rfam family: Bacterial small subunit ribosomal RNA
Source: RNAcentral
AACGAACGCUGGCGGCAUGCCUAACACAUGCAAGUCGAACGAGACCUUCGGGUCUAGUGGCGCACGGGUGCGUAACGCGUGGGAAUCUGCCCUUGGUUCGGAAUAACAGUUAGAAAUGACUGCUAAUACCGGAUGAUGACGAAAGUCCAAAGAUUUAUCGCCGAGGGAUGAGCCCGCGUAGGAUUAGCUAGUUGGUGAGGUAAAGGCUCACCAAGGCGACGAUCCUUAGCUGGUCUGAGAGGAUGAUCAGCCACACUGGGACUGAGACACGGCCCAGACUCCUACGGGAGGCAGCAUGGGGAAUAUUGGACAAUGGGCGAAAGCCUGAUCCAGCAAAUGCCGCGUGAGUGAUGAAGGCC